AUACGGAGGGUGCAAGCGUUAUUCGGAAUCACUGGGCGUAAAGGACGCGUAGGCGGGUUGGCAAGUCAGAUGUGAAAUCCUACAGCUUAACUGUAGAACUGCAUUUGAAACUGCUAACCUAGAGUAUGGGAGGGGGAGAUGGAAUUAGUGGUGUAGGGGUAAAAUCCGUAGAUAUCACUAGGAAUACCGAAAGCGAAGGCGAUCUCCUGGAACAUAACUGACGAUAAGGCGUGAAAGCGUGGGGAGCAAACAGGAUUAGAAACCCUAGUAGUCC
RNAcentral lists this ribosomal RNA (274 nucleotides) under uncultured bacterium. Its description in RNAcentral is "partial 16S ribosomal RNA". It matches the Rfam family "Bacterial small subunit ribosomal RNA", at positions 523 to 796 of the family's 1533-position model. The record is from RNAcentral.